RNAcentral lists this ribosomal RNA (482 nucleotides) under uncultured bacterium. RNAcentral describes it as "partial 16S ribosomal RNA". It matches the Rfam family "Bacterial small subunit ribosomal RNA", at positions 30 to 507 of the family's 1533-position model. The record is from RNAcentral.
UGAACGCUGGCGGCAGGCCUAACACAUGCAAAUCGAGCGGAUGAAGGGAGCUUGCUCCUGGAUUCAGCGGCGGACGGGUGAGUAAUGCCUAGGAAUCUGCCUGGUAGUGGGGGAUAACGUCCGGAAACGGGCGCUAAUACCGCAUACGUCCUGAGGGAGAAAGUGGGGGAUCUUCGGACCUCACGCUAUCAGAUGAGCCUAGGUCGGAUUAGCUAGUUGGUGGGGUAAAGGCCUACCAAGGCGACGAUCCGUAACUGGUCUGAGAGGAUGAUCAGUCACACUGGAACUGAGACACGGUCCAGACUCCUACGGGAGGCAGCAGUGGGGAAUAUUGGACAAUGGGCGAAAGCCUGAUCCAGCCAUGCCGCGUGUGUGAAGAAGGUCUUCGGAUUGUAAAGCACUUUAAGUUGGGAGGAAGGGCAGUAAGUUAAUACCUUGCUGUUUUGACGUUACCAACAGAAUAAGCACCGGCUAACUUCGUG